This 540-nucleotide ribosomal RNA is filed under the name uncultured bacterium. RNAcentral's name for it is "bacterial SSU rRNA". It matches the Rfam family "Bacterial small subunit ribosomal RNA", at positions 8 to 526 of the family's 1533-position model. The record is from RNAcentral.
AGAGUUUGAUCAUGGCUCAGAACGAACGCUGGCGGCGUGCCUAACACAUGCAAGUCGAGCGAGAAAGCCCGCAAGGGUGAGUAAAGCGGCGCACGGGUGCGUAACACGUGGGUAAUCUGCCCUGAAGUCCGGAAUAACCCGCCGAAAGGCGUGCUAAUGCCGGAUAAGACCACGGGAGCCUCGGCUCCUGCGGGAAAAGGUGGCCUCUGUACACAAGCUAUCACUUCAGGAUGAGCCCGCGGCCCAUCAGCUCGUUGGCGGGGUAAUGGCCCACCAAGGCUACGACGGGUAGCUGGUCUGAGAGGACGAUCAGCCACACUGGAACUGAGACACGGUCCAGACUCCUACGGGAGGCAGCAGUGGGGAAUCUUGCGCAAUGGGCGAAAGCCUGACGCAGCAACGCCGCGUGUGUGAUGAAGGUCUUCGGAUCGUAAAGCACUGUCGCGAGGGACGAAUAAGGGGCGGGCUAACAUCCCGUUCCGAUGACGGUACCUCGAGAGGAAGCACCGGCUAACUCUGUGCCAGCCGCCGCGGUAAUUC